This 1497-nucleotide long non-coding RNA is filed under the name Oryctolagus cuniculus (rabbit). RNAcentral describes it as "lncRNA (ENSOCUG00000029789.1)". Lineage: Eukaryota; Metazoa; Chordata; Mammalia; Lagomorpha; Leporidae. The record is from RNAcentral.
GGGGGGCCUGGGCACCAUGUCCAGUGGUGGUGGGGGGCCUGGGCAGGGACAGGAGAGUCCCCAGCCCUUCUGCUUCCCGCUCCUCACAAUCUAAGCCCCGUCCUUCUCCUGUCGCCCGGCACCGGGCACAGUCCCUGUGCCUUCUGCUGGCUGCUGGCCUGGGACUCAGACAAGCAAGCCUUUGGGGUUUGUGGGCCAGACGAGGGAGGCGUCGUCUGUUUGCCCUGCUCUCUCCUGCCCCCUUUCAUGGGAGCCCGACCGGAGGCUGCUCCAGGUUGGAUUUCAGGCCGGGGCCGGCUCCGGUGUGGCUCAGUCUGUUUUGGGUCACCCUGAAACAGGAGAGCACUCGGAGCCCCGGCGUGCCAGCCGAGGCUGCUCCAGGUCCAGCCCCAGCCUCGCGUGCCCGAGUGGAAAAGUCCAGCCCCGAGAGCGCCUGCUGUGGGCGCCACCCUUGGCUGAUCCGGGGAGCGCAGUGGAUCUUGCAAACCCCGCCGGUUCUCUGGGAGGUCACUUCUGUCCUGUGGGGGGCAGCGCUCUGGCUGGAGGCUGCAAACACAGAAAGCGACAGCGGCACCGGGUUCCUGAUGGGCUGCGACACACAAGGAAGCCGGGGCACGGCGUGGGGAGGGCGUGGGCAGCGGGAGCCCAGGGCCUGGGACGCCCAGGCACAGGAUCGUCCCCCACCGCAGGUCGGGCUAUGCAGACGCUCACACCGGAUGCUGCCGACCUGCACCCUGCACUGUGGCGCAAAUGCCUUCGUCCCGACCCCUCGCUCAUUCCCGCGCCCGCGGUCACCCCAGGCUCCUGUCGGAGGUGGCCGCGGCCGGGGAUGGCCGUUCGCUGUGGCGUCCUCAGUUGUUGGCUUUGUAUGAGGGUGCUUCAAAAAGCUUGUGGGACAAAAAUAGAAUUAAAAGAUAAGCUUAUUAUUUUAAUUUCUAAAGAUUUAUUUGACAAUAGAGGGAGAGACAGAGAGAGGUUCACUCCCCAAAUAACCACAGAGGCUGGACCGACCGACCAGGAACUGAACUGGGGGGCCACCUUUUCAUUAGGGCAAACGUCAAACAUAAUCAUUUUAUUUUUCACUUAUUUAAAAAAAUUACUAGGAGGCAGGGAGAGAGACACAGAACCCCCUGUCUUCUGGUUUGCUCCCUACAUGCCUGCAACAGCUGGGACUGAGGCCAGGAGCCAGGAACUCCUCCUGGGUCUCCUACACGGGACCGGCACCCACGGGCUUGAGCCCUCGCUUGGCUGUUCCCAGACUUAGCAGGAAGCUAGAACCAGGCGCGGAGCUGGAAUCGAGCCCAGGCACUCUGGGGCGGGAUGUGGGCGUCCCUAGCAGCAUUGUAACUGCGACGCCCGCCCCGGGUAACUACUUUAGAGGGGUGUGCACAGUCACAACCCCGCACAGCGCCGCCUCUGUCCGUGCCCAUCACCCCAGCGNNNNNNNNNNNNNNNNNNNNNNNNNNNNNNNNNNNNNNNNNNNNNNNNNNNNNNNNN